GUUUUUAUAGUUUAAUAUUAAAACAUUGGUCUUGUAAAUCAAAAAUAAGUAUAUUACUUUAAAAACU
RNAcentral lists this transfer RNA (67 nucleotides) under Parnassius apollonius. RNAcentral describes it as "tRNA-Thr". It matches the Rfam family "tRNA". From Rfam's summary of the family: Transfer RNA (tRNA) molecules are approximately 80 nucleotides in length. Their secondary structure includes four short double-helical elements and three loops (D, anti-codon, and T loops). The record is from RNAcentral. Lineage: Eukaryota; Metazoa; Arthropoda; Insecta; Lepidoptera; Papilionidae.